UACGGGGGGAGCAAGCGUUGUUCGGAUUUACUGGGCGUAAAGGGCGCGUAGGCGGUCAGCACAAGUCAGUUGUGAAAUCCCCGGGCUUAACUCGGAAAGGUCAACUGAUACUGUGCGACUAGAGUGCGGAAGGGGCAACUGGAAUUCUCGGUGUAGCGGUGAAAUGCGUAGAUAUCGAGAGGAACACCUGCGGCGAAGGCGGGUUGCUGGGCCGACACUGACGCUGAUGCGCGAAAGCCAGGGGAGCGAACGGG
This 254-nucleotide ribosomal RNA is filed under the name uncultured bacterium. RNAcentral's name for it is "partial 16S ribosomal RNA". It matches the Rfam family "Bacterial small subunit ribosomal RNA", at positions 524 to 776 of the family's 1533-position model. The record is from RNAcentral.